CGAGCGGCGGACGGGUGAGUAAUGCCUAGGAAAUUGCCUUGAUGUGGGGGAUAACCAUUGGAAACGAUGGCUAAUACCGCAUAAUGCCUACGGGCCAAAGAGGGGGAUCUUCGGACCUCUCGCGUCAAGAUAUGCCUAGGUGGGAUUAGCUAGUUGGUGAGGUAAUGGCUCACCAAGGCGACGAUCCCUAGCUGGUCUGAGAGGAUGAUCAGCCACACUGGAACUGAGACACGGUCCAGACUCCUACGGGAGGCAGCAGUGGGGAAUAUUGCACAAUGGGCGAAAGCCUGAUGCAGCCAUGCCGCGUGUAUGAAGAAGGCCUUCGGGUUGUAAAGUACUUUCAGUUGUGAGGAAGGGGGUAACGUUAAUAGCGUUAUCUCUUGACGUUAGCAACAGAAGAAGCACCGGCUAACUCCGUGCCAGCAGCCGCGGUAAUACGGAGGGUGCGAGCGUUAAUCGGAAUUACUGGGCGUAAAGCGCAUGCAGGUGGUUCAUUAAGUCAGAUGUGAAAGCCCGGGGCUCAACCUCGGAACUGCAUUUGAAACUGGUGAACUAGAGUGCUGUAGAGGGGGGUAGAAUUUCAGGUGUAGCGGUGAAAUGCGUAGAGAUCU
RNAcentral lists this ribosomal RNA (611 nucleotides) under Vibrio sp. 11Ve. Its description in RNAcentral is "bacterial SSU rRNA". It matches the Rfam family "Bacterial small subunit ribosomal RNA", at positions 92 to 699 of the family's 1533-position model. Lineage: Bacteria; Pseudomonadati; Pseudomonadota; Gammaproteobacteria; Vibrionales; Vibrionaceae. The record is from RNAcentral.